UACGUAGGGUGCGAGCGUUAAUCGGAAUUACUGGGCGUAAAGCGUGCGCAGGCGGUCUGUUAAGACAGAUGUGAAAUCCCCAGGCUUAACCUGGGAACUGCAUUCGAGACUGCAUAGCUAGAGUAUGGGAGAGGGAAGUGGAAUUUCAGGUGUAGCGGUGAAAUGCGUAGAUAUCUGAAGGAACAUCAGUGGCGAAAGCGACUUCCUGGACCAAUACUGACGCUCAUGUGCGAAAGCGUGGGGAGCAAACAGG
RNAcentral lists this ribosomal RNA (253 nucleotides) under uncultured bacterium. RNAcentral's name for it is "partial 16S ribosomal RNA". It matches the Rfam family "Bacterial small subunit ribosomal RNA", at positions 524 to 776 of the family's 1533-position model. The record is from RNAcentral.